CGAAAGCCUGACGGAGCAAUACCGCGUGCGGGAGGAAGGCCCUUGGGUCGUAAACCGCUUUUCUUAGGGAAGAAACCUGACGGUACCUAAGGAAUAAGCCUCGGCUAACUCCGUGCCAGCAGCCGCGGUAAUACGGAGGAGGCAAGCGUUAUCCGGAAUUAUUGGGCGUAAAGAGUCCGUAGGUGGUUUCACAAGUCUACUGUCAAAGCCCGCAGCUUAACUGCGGAGAGGCGGUGGAAACUGUGAGACUAGAGUGUGAUAGGGGUAGAGGGAAUUCCCAGUGUAGCGGUGAAAUGCGUAGAUAUUGGGAAGAACACCGGUGGCGAAAGCGCUCUACUGGAUCAUAACUGACACUGAGGGACGAAAGCCAAGGUAGCG
Molecule: ribosomal RNA, 378 nt
Filed under: uncultured cyanobacterium
Lineage: Bacteria; Bacillati; Cyanobacteriota
Description: bacterial SSU rRNA
Rfam family: Bacterial small subunit ribosomal RNA
Source: RNAcentral